Molecule: ribosomal RNA, 253 nt
Filed under: uncultured bacterium
Lineage: Bacteria
Description: partial 16S ribosomal RNA
Rfam family: Bacterial small subunit ribosomal RNA
Source: RNAcentral
CACGUAGGGCGCGAGCGUUGUCCGGAAUCACUGGGCGUAAAGGGCUCGCAGGCGGCCUGUCGCGUCGGCCGUGAAAGCCCGGGGCUCAACCUCGGAGGCGCGGUCGAUACGGGCAGGCUAGAGGGCGGUAGAGGGGAGUGGAACUCCCGGUGUAGCGGUGAAAUGCGCAGAUAUCGGGAGGAACACCGGUGGCGAAGGCGGCUCCCUGGACCGUACCUGACGCUGAGGAGCGAAAGCGUGGGGAGCGAACAGG